RNAcentral lists this transfer RNA (71 nucleotides) under Loxodonta africana (African savanna elephant). It matches the Rfam family "tRNA". Rfam says of the family: Transfer RNA (tRNA) molecules are approximately 80 nucleotides in length. The record is from Rfam by way of RNAcentral. Lineage: Eukaryota; Metazoa; Chordata; Mammalia; Proboscidea; Elephantidae.
GCAAGGGUGGUUCAGUGGUAGAAUUCUUGCCUUCCAUGCAGGAGAUCUAGGUUCAGUUUCAUGCCAGUGCU